Molecule: small RNA, 177 nt
Filed under: Chrysemys picta bellii (western painted turtle)
Lineage: Eukaryota; Metazoa; Chordata; Testudines; Emydidae
Description: TUC338 (ENSCPBG00000022957.1)
Source: RNAcentral
UCGACAGCCCUGAAUGCCCUGUUUUGCCAGAGAACAGGUACAGCAUGGGCGGCAGCAGUGAAAGCUUCCUUCAUACAGUACCCUCCAGCGUGCCUCAGCCCUGUCAUGGAGGGACCACUAGAGAGGAGAAGGGGGUUUGGUGUCCAUGAGCUCUGUGUGGCUCGAAAGCUUGUUUCU